GUCCACGCCCUAAACGAUGUCAACUAGCUGUUGGGGCCUUCGGGCCUUGGUAGCGCAGCUAACGCGUGAAGUUGACCGCCUGGGGAGUACGGUCGCAAGAUUAAAACUCAAAGGAAUUGACGGGGACCCGCACAAGCGGUGGAUGAUGUGGAUUAAUUCGAUGCAACGCGAAAAACCUUACCUACCCUUGACAUGUCUGGAAUCCCGAAGAGAUUUGGGAGUGCUCGCAAGAGAACCGGAACACAGGUGCUGCAUGGCU
Molecule: ribosomal RNA, 259 nt
Filed under: uncultured bacterium
Lineage: Bacteria
Description: partial 16S ribosomal RNA
Rfam family: Bacterial small subunit ribosomal RNA
Source: RNAcentral